CCUACGGGAGGCAGCAGUGGGGAAUAUUGGACAAUGGGGGCAACCCUGAUCCAGCCAUGCCGCGUGUGUGAAGAAGGCCCUCGGGUUGUAAAGCACUUUCAGUGAGGAAGAACGCCUGGUGGUUAAUACCCAUCAGGAAAGACAUCACUCACAGAAGAAGCACCGGCUAACUCCGUGCCAGCAGCCGCGGUAAUACGGAGGGUGCGAGCGUUAAUCGGAAUUACUGGGCGUAAAGCGCGCGUAGGUGGCUUGAUAAGCCGGUUGUGAAAGCCCCGGGCUCAACCUGGGAACGGCAUCCUGAACUGUCAAGCUAGAGUGCAGGAGAGGAAGGUAGAAUUCCCGGUGUAGCGGUGAAAUGCGUAGAGAUCGGGAGGAAUACCAGUGGCGAAGGCGGCCUUCUGGACUGACACUGACACUGAGGUGCGAAAGCGUGGGUAGCAAACAGGAUUAGAUACCCCGGUAGUC
Molecule: ribosomal RNA, 465 nt
Filed under: Vreelandella stevensii
Lineage: Bacteria; Pseudomonadati; Pseudomonadota; Gammaproteobacteria; Oceanospirillales; Halomonadaceae
Description: partial 16S ribosomal RNA
Rfam family: Bacterial small subunit ribosomal RNA
Source: RNAcentral